RNAcentral lists this long non-coding RNA (205 nucleotides) under Elaeis guineensis (African oil palm). RNAcentral describes it as "long non-coding RNA (EGUI_LNC048243)". The record is from RNAcentral. Lineage: Eukaryota; Viridiplantae; Streptophyta; Magnoliopsida; Arecales; Arecaceae.
CACUUGUGUGGGGAUACUAAUACAAGAAUGUGGGUAUCCAUUUAGGAAUGAGUUCACUAAAUUGACUCAUCAGUAGAGAACAUCUUAUAGAACCUUAUUUGCAUGUCAAAAAAUGGUUCUCUAAGUGUGAGUUAUGCAAGUGAUCCUUAGAUCUGAGACUAUCAUGGAAUCUUGUGCACAUGAACCCAUAUUUUGGUUCAUAUCU